Long non-coding RNA from Herpailurus yagouaroundi (jaguarundi), 159 nucleotides. RefSeq lists it as uncharacterized. The record is from RefSeq and is a predicted model, not a curated record. NCBI's taxonomy places the organism in Eukaryota, Metazoa, Chordata, Mammalia, Carnivora, Felidae. The transcript is spliced from 3 exons.
CUAUUCUGUUCCAUUGAUCUGAGUGUUUUGGGGUCAGUAACAUACUGUCCUGAUGACUACAGGUUUGUAAUACAUCUUGAAGUCCAGAAUUGUGAUGCCUCCAGGUUUGCUUUUCUUUUUCAGGAUUGCUUUGGUUAUUUGGGGUCCUUUGUGGCUCCA